This is a long non-coding RNA of Dioscorea cayenensis subsp. rotundata (Guinea yam), 1025 nucleotides long. RefSeq lists it as uncharacterized. NCBI's taxonomy places the organism in Eukaryota, Viridiplantae, Streptophyta, Magnoliopsida, Dioscoreales, Dioscoreaceae. The transcript is spliced from 2 exons. The record is from RefSeq and is a predicted model, not a curated record.
GUUCCAUAACGAGUGAGAGGGAGGUUAUUAAAUGCUGGGCCUUAUAUACUCAGAGACUCCGUCAGAGUUGUCAAAAAGUUUCAUACUGGAUUUAUUUCUUGGGUCCAGAGGCAGGAAUAGCAGUAGAAGCAAACUAGAAGGGACAUGUGAAUGAAAUUAAGGGUCUAGUCCCUCCACCCUUGUGGUCCUUUCUCCAUUGCUUCGUUGCUCUGCAUGGCUCUCUGCCAGGUCUGUAUUACUGAAUUUCCACUGGGAUUCUUUUUGGCUUUUUGCAUGCUGACAAACUCUUUGUAUGUAUAAUACUAUGCCUAAUGCCUCUCGUUUUGGAAGCUUUUGGGACUGUGAAAGGUGGUCUCUGUCACCAUGCAUGUUGCUUGGAUUGGGUGCUUAAGUGGGCAACUAGUGGAGCCCUUGGUGGUUUUAUGGAGUCCUUGGAAUGAAAUAAAACUUAUAACUCAACAUUCAACAUUCAGACAAUUUUUACAGAGCAAACGGUGCUAGCUUCUACAUGGGCGGUGCUCUGUGCUCAAAAAACAUUGAUUUUGUUUAGCGUGUGAAAGCCUUGCUCCUCGGCCAAUGAUCUUCAGGUCUAUUAGUACACGAGUCGCCGAUAAAACUCUCACCACUCUCACCGAGUGGUGAGAGUUCGAUUCUCGGCUGAGGGCACAUUUUUUUGAAUUGUGAAUAGUAAUUGUGUACGGAUGGUUUCUGCGCCUAUGUGAGUGCGGCCUCGUCCCCGCUUGUUCCACUGAGUCUUGUGCAUGUCUCUGGGGUCUCUAGUGGGUUCGCCCCGCUCUCUUUCUCCAAAAAGCCUUGCUCCUCGUUGUGUUGCUCAAGAGCUUGGAACUUCUAUGAUGGCAAUUUUAUGAUCAGAUAUUGGGACUACUGGCUUAAUAUGCUACCUCCAAAGAUCACUGUAUCAUUUGAUCGAUAUGAAUGUUUUUGAGAGAACAUUGAAGAGUAUGCUUUUGGAACGUUAAUGUACAGACAUGAUGUAGUAAUAAAUAUUAUCAAAGUUUUAAUCA